RNAcentral lists this ribosomal RNA (493 nucleotides) under Methanobacteriota archaeon. RNAcentral describes it as "bacterial SSU rRNA". It matches the Rfam family "Archaeal small subunit ribosomal RNA", at positions 1 to 497 of the family's 1478-position model. Lineage: Archaea; Methanobacteriati; Methanobacteriota. The record is from RNAcentral.
CAACUCCGGUUGAUCCUGCCGGCGGGCACCGCUAUGGGAGUUCGCUUAAGACAUGCGAGUCGAGAGGUGCAAGACCUCGGCGUACGGCUCAGUAACACGCGGACAACCUGCCCUCGCGUGGGGGAUACUCUCGGGAAACUGAGGAUAAUACCCCAUAGGUCCGGGAUGCUGGAACGCUUCCGGGCUGAAAGCUCCGGCGCGCGAGGAUGGGUCUGCGGCCUAUCAGCUUGUAGGGGGUUUAACAGACCCCCUAGGCUUCGACGGGUACGGGCUAUGGGAGUAGUCGCCCGGAGAUGGACUCUGAGACACGAGUCCAGGCCCUACGGGGCGCAGCAGUCGCGAAAACUCCGCAAUGUGGGAAACCACGACGGGGGAACUCCCAGUGCGUGCACUUUGUGUACGCUGUUCUCUUGCCUAAAAAGCAGGAGAAGUAAGGGCUGAGUAAGACGGGUGCCAGCCGCCGCGGUAAUACCCGCAGCCCGAGUGGUGCUCA